AGGAUGAACGCUGGCGGCGUGCUUAACACAUGCAAGUCGAACGAGGUCCAAGGAGCUUGCUCUGGACGACCUAGUGGCGAACGGGUGCGUAACACGUGAGAAACCUGCCCCGAUCUCUGGGAUAACAGUUGGAGACGACUGCUAAUACCGGAUGCCGUCCCACCGCUUCAUGGCGGAGUGACGAAGAUUCAUCGGAU
RNAcentral lists this ribosomal RNA (197 nucleotides) under uncultured soil bacterium. Its description in RNAcentral is "partial 16S ribosomal RNA". It matches the Rfam family "Bacterial small subunit ribosomal RNA", at positions 26 to 220 of the family's 1533-position model. The record is from RNAcentral.